Molecule: long non-coding RNA, 2626 nt
Organism: Gadus morhua (Atlantic cod)
Lineage: Eukaryota; Metazoa; Chordata; Actinopteri; Gadiformes; Gadidae
Source: Ensembl
GACGUCAGACACGGUCAUAUUCAGAAAUAUCUCGUGAUGACAGGCUAACCUCACACCUGUUGGUAGAACGGAUGCCCUUUUAAAGGUCAUUACGUUCCUUUAGACGUCCUCCAAAAAGCGUCACAGGUAGAGAGGCAGAGGAAGUAAGCCGGCAGGUUAGAGCAGCAGCUGAAGGCGAGGAUGGAGUCAGAGUGUUUUCCCUCCCAUCCCACACCAACAACCUGUUCCUGGGUUUGGAUCUCUGCCUGGAGUAGACAGGGAGGGGGGAGAGUGGGUCUGACAGGAGGCCGGGCACCUGCCGGCCCGUCUGGCCGACGGAGGAUUCACCGCACAUCAAGCCCACCGUGUCAGGAGCGGACUCGACAGAAGAAACGCGGACGAAAGGGGAUCCCACCGCACUCUCCCUCACACUCCCUCACACUCUCACUCUCACUCUCACUCUCACUAUUACCCACAAAACAUGUUUAAAUAGUAAUAGUAGGUAGAAAAUAAAAGAUUAGAGGCAGAAUGCUUCAGAAUCCUGGCUGGGUAACUGCAUUAUCGUUUCUCUUGACCGACGGUCAGUAGACAAACAGUCCUCUUCGAUGGAUGCCUUGCUCGGGGCAAGGUCAGGACAGCUGCUCCCUGAUGGAGCUGUCUGGCUUCUACUGUUGCAUGAACUACAGCGGCCUUACUCCACAAGGCCGGGUCUCAUCAGUACAACCUGCCUCCUUCACCCGGGAACAGCGUUCCAAUUCUGGUUUUAGUCCUGAUGACCUCGAAAGCCCAAUCAGAACGAGGAAGCCACCCAGAAGGAGGCGGUGCUAUAUGCCAGCCAAUCGACACCGAGAGUUUAACUGUGUGUACUCGUUUGGUUGUGAUUGGUGGGUUUGAAAUAGAUUCCGGAAUCUCUGCUUACUGUGUGAAUUACAUUAAGCUUUUCCUCCGGUGUUGGUUUAGUUAUAAAUAACAUAUAUUAUAUUUUGCUUUUCACUUAUAUAAUACACUAUGGCUUAGCUGGGAGUUAGCGUUAUAGCGAGGGUGGUUAUGAAACGCCACCUCUAUCUGCUCGUUAGGGACAUGUUUAAAAAAUCGAUUAAUCUCGCUUUGGUUAAACGCCAAAAGAAAACGAGCAUUCAAAUGUUGACAUGGUAUUUUCGUUUAGUUCACAAGUUCAGCCGACUCUUUUCGACGGAACGGAGCUAAAGAAAUUCCGCCUAUUUUUACCUCCCCUUCACAUAUCGACUCCAGCAGUACCUCCGCGUGUAGCGCCGCCACGUCUCAUUGGCUGAGUCAGGCGGAGGAGUCGCAGAGGACUCUGAGAUACCGUCGACAGUCUCGUCAGCUGUCAUACACCCAGGAGUAAGAACCCCCCCCCCCCCCCCCCCCCCCAACACCUCUCCUUACCUUCCUCAUCCCCCCCUCCCCCCUCACAUUAUGAACCCCUACCCGUCUCUGAGAAGGAGUUGGGUUGGUAGCGGUGGUUUUUAUGAUGAUGAUUCUGAAAUCGCGGUUUAAUGUCUUGCUAAUCGCUCACGGGCGCUCCGGCGCGGUCCCUCAUAACACGUCCCAGCAGGGGUUAAUCAGAUCACGGCAAAACACAAAAACAAUUACAGCCACUGGGAUACCGUUCAUGCGAAUAUUAUAAUAUACUCUCCCUUAUUAUUCGGAUUUAACAAGAAAAACUAGUUAGACGAAGCAUCAAAGCACUUAAAACAGAAAAAAUGCUCCAAUAACAAAGGAAAAAGGACUGAGAAAAAUGAAAUGGUGGGUGUCGCGGCAGAAGAACAUGACAUGAGAACGAAGUGUGCUGCAGUCUCAUGUGGACCCGCGCGCUAUAAUGCUGCUCAACCGGCCUAACCCACUGAACUCAUGACCCAGGCACUGGCCUAUAGGGUUAGUGGAAGGGGAGACAUGGGGGGGGGGGAGAGAGAGAGAGAGAGAGAGAGAGAGAGAGAGAGAGAGUGGGGGAGAUAGAGAGUGAGAGAGUGAGAGAGUGAGAGAGAGAGAGAGAGAGAGAGAGAGAGUGAUGGAGAGACAGAGAGAGACCCCCUGCUCCCCCUGCGAGAGAGUGAGAGACUAUGCGUGAGUACAAUGACAUCACAAUGCGUUUCACAUAUUGUUUUAUAUUUUCUUAGAGAUUCUUAAUUGCAUUCGGUUUCAACGGAAGGAAUUCCCAAAGCAGACGCCAACCUGAUUGACAUCCUCUAUUUAAUCCAUUGUUUCAUAUAGAAGUGUGUGUGUGUGUGUGUGUGUGUGUGUGUGUGUGUGUGUGUGUGUGUGUGUGUGUGUGUGUGUGUGUGUGUGUGUGUGUGUGUGUGUGUGUGUGUGUGUGUGUGUGUGUGUGCUCAUGUUUGCCCACUACAUGGAGGCCUGCAUUUUCCUUUUAGCGAAGCACAAGGCUUACAAGAGAUUAAGUGAUUUGGAGGAAGCUUAAACAUAUCCUGCUCAUAUAUUUUAAACCCUUACAUUUCUGUAUUUAAUAGAACUAUAUAUUAUUAUUUUAUUUAUUUUUUUACUUUUUCACUAAAAAGUUCAACCAACUGAACCUGGUUCCAGAAGCUUCAGUUCUCUGAAACAGAAGCCCCCUCCCUCCACACGCGGGGAUGAUUACUGAGCUCUCUGUCGGCAGAGUGCGUCUGGAAUC